Stomoxys calcitrans (stable fly) is the source of this 614-nucleotide long non-coding RNA. RefSeq lists it as uncharacterized. The transcript is spliced from 2 exons. NCBI's taxonomy places the organism in Eukaryota, Metazoa, Arthropoda, Insecta, Diptera, Muscidae. The record is from RefSeq and is a predicted model, not a curated record.
UUUCGUUAUUCUUAUUCCGGACAACCAAAGCUUGGUUUAUUCUUCUUUUCUUUGUCUAUGCUUAAUAGAUGGGCAAAUUUUCAAAUAUAUAAAUAUAAAAUGUGCAACAAGAAAUUUAUCAAAAAAAAGCCGGGAGCAGUGCAAUAACUAGGCCACAAGGCUACUGUGCCUUAGUUAAUAUAAUUGCCAUAUAAUUGGAAUUCGGUAAUUAUGAUUGUCUAUUGCUACAAAGGCGCUGCUAUAAUAAUAAGCACAGUGGUGAUUCUACUAUUUAAGUGGGAAGUUGGCACUAAUCUUCAAAUUGUUGUUGGGAUAUGUGCAAUUAUUCUUCUUUCUGGACUGCAGGUCCAACCAACGCAAUAACCGGUGUGUUCGUGUUAAAAAAUUUGUGCAAUAUGUUUAGAACGUAGUACAAUUUUUUCAAUUUAGUGCAAUAAUGCGAUAUUUUAAUAUCGUACGAUAUUAUCAAUCCGUGCAAUAAGCUCGAUAUUUAAUUAAUUAGAAUUAUGGGCAGUAAUUUUUAGCUGAAAUAAGUGCAAUACAUCUGUGUCUGUGUGUGCAAUAUUCUUUACGGUCUUUAAGGCUUUUAAUGUGCAAUAAAUAAUUUCUCUGUA